This is an RNA transcript of Hirundo rustica (Barn swallow), 4248 nucleotides long. It is a transcript of the gene named leucine rich repeat containing 30, with no coding region annotated. Lineage: Eukaryota; Metazoa; Chordata; Aves; Passeriformes; Hirundinidae. The transcript is spliced from 2 exons. The record is from RefSeq and is a predicted model, not a curated record.
UUACAGACUGUGCACCAAGAUCAACAUAAGCCCCCAAAAGUGAAACUUUCCCUCAGCAGCUAUGGAAACUGUUCCGUUGGACUGAGAUGCACUUGACAGGCUCCUCCUUGUCUCCUUGCUUUGACUUUCCCACCUCCUGCAGGCUGUCAUCCUCUGUUGGCAUUUGCAUAUUGCGAGGGAAUAAAACCUCAGUUCUCUCAGGAGUGAACCAGAGUGUUAUGGGAACUGAGCACUCGAAGAACGAGGAGCGAAGGAGCAUGGUUUUCCUUAGGAAAGGCCCGAAGCUGCCUGCAUGGGAAGACGCCCUUCUGGCAGGGAGAGAGCCCAAGUCACUGCUGAAACGGGGAUUGCGUUAUGUCAGCUUGAGCCUCAUAAUGAAAGGGAUGACCAGCACGCCUGACUUCUUGUGGGGACUGCAUGAGGUGCAGAAGCUGAACCUUUCACGAAACCAGCUGGUGGUGAUUCCUCCUUCCCUGGGGAAGCUGGACAGGCUGGUUGUGCUGAACUUGGGUGGCAACUGCCUCAAGUGCCUGCCUAAGGAGAUCGGGCUGCUGAGGAACCUGAAGGUCUUGUUCGCCAAUAUGAAUUGCCUGAAAGAAGUGCCAGCAGAGCUCAGCUUGUGCAGGAAGCUGGAGGUUCUGAGCCUCUCACACAACUGCAUCUCUCAACUGCCUUUGAGCUUCACUGACCUGACAAGCUUGAGGAAACUGAACCUCAGUAACAACCGCUUCGUGCAAAUUCCCCUCUGCAUUUUCGCCCUGAGAAGCUUAGACUUCUUGCACUUAGGGUCCAACAAGCUGGAAAACAUCGCAGAGAGUAUCCAGUACCUGGUCAAUCUGCAAAUCCUCAUCGUGGAGAAUAACAACAUACGCAGUCUGCCGCGGUCUCUGUGCUACAUCAGCACUCUGGAGUUGCUGAACGCUGAUUACAAUGCCAUACAGACCCUCCCAGACGACCUGUACCUGCUGCGCCGCCUGCGCCGCAUUGCCUGGAACCCCAUGGACAAAGGCCUCCACAUCGCCCACAACCCCUUGGCCCGGCCCCUGCCCGAGGUCGUCGAGGGGGGCCUGGAUGUCCUCUUCAGCUACCUCAGGGACAAAAAGGAGCACAACUGAGCUUCCGCCGAGCUUGGGAUUAAGCCUGUCAUCAAGACUGAAUCGCAUCGGAGAGCUUUCCUGCGCAGGCAUUUCCACUUCGUAAUGCUUGGAUUUUGAAGGCUGUGGAUGGCUUUAGUAGCAGUUGGAGGAAAGCAAGUAAAGUAUGAUGGUCUUGAUUAAGGGUGUGAAGAGCAAACUUUCUAAAAAUAGCCACCUCUGUAACCUUCACUGUUGUGGUACUUGGGGAUUUUUUUAGAAAAAAAAAAAAAUACAACAUAAUUGUGAUAAAAUAUUUGCUCUUCAUUUGACAGAAACAAAUUAAAGCAGACUGUCAGACAUGCAGAAAUAUGUAUUUGACAGCUAUUAGGCUGGAGAAAUAUUAAUAUAAGUUAGGCUUUCUGUGAUUGCAAUUGCAUUUCUACUCCUGCUCACUUCUUUAUACACAGGUAGACCACGACAUGAGCAAACACUGCUAACUAAGUGAAUCUCAAGGAAAAUGUUUGCUUUUGGCAGUGAAUAUAUCCUGAGCUAUAUUAGCUCACAGACAAUAUAUUAAUGGUCAGUUCAACACCACUUGUUGCUUACCCCGCAGCUGUGCUCUGGCCUGUAUAAGUUACAGGUAGAUAUUGCCAGUGACAAGGCAACUUGCCAGUUCUUUGGAAGUAGAUCCCAAACUUCCCCAGAGCUCCUACUUCCCCUGGUGAGACAAGCAGCCCUUCACAUGGAGCCUCCCAGGAUGCUGACAGCAGUGCUUCACAUCAGCUGGGAGCUGCAUCUGCCCAAAACAGAGAAAGGACUGUGGCUUCUUCCCUCACAUAAAGAAUAGAGUUGCUCAUUGCUGGAUGUACAACUGCUCUCCAUUCCCUUUCCUAUAUGCCUGCAAUCCGAACUAUGGAGUGACUUUACUCGGGAGACAGUACGACUCCUAAAGGAAAAUUAGAUGCCUAUGGCAUUAAUCACCUGAAAAGAUUUUCCACAUGUCAGUAUCCAGGAUUAUAUGACACCGGAUAGCCUCUGAUACGAUCUGACUAGAAGAGGCAUGCACAGUAAUUUACAUGGAAGAUGUGAGGCUGGACUGUGUGUGUUCAUUAGGAUACAAUUAUGAGGGUGAGAAACAGUGAACGAUUCAAGAAAAUGAUCUCCAGACAGAGGAUUAAAAGGCAAUUUUGACAUAAUCAAAUGCAUCUGCAAAAGCAGUUAUAAUGUGAAGUGCAAUACCAAUAAUUUAAAAUUAAAUUAUUCAAUUGAAUAAUAAUGACCUUUUACUCAAGCUAAUAAACCUUUGCAAGCAUAUGAAACACAUAAAAGUGACUGCCUUUUUAAACAGAAUAAUAAAAUUGAUUGAAUAAAUGGUGCUUUAAUGUAUAAUUCAGAUUUUACCAUUAAGAAAAUAAUUUCUACUGAUCUGCUUUAGUAUUUUUUCAUUCCUCAGUCAAGGCCCCUAUAAAUACCUUCCUCAGAGACUGAGAAAAUUAUGUCUCAUGACUGAGGGUAGUGUUCUGAAUUCUUCCUGUAAAAAGAAAAGACUGUAUACCACUGUUAUUGUAUAGAAAUAUGCAUGAAAGGCAAGUAAUGACAUAUGUAUUUGCAUCUGAGUGGGAGCAAGAUAGAAGAAGCAAGCAAGGGCACGGGAGGGAGAUAGAAUGUGUAAUGUCAUGUGCUGGCUCUAGUUUUGAGCAGGGCAUUAGAAAAGAGUUGGUGGAUCUCAGUGUUGUCAUCUGAUAUUAGCUGUGCAAAUGACAGGGAAAAAAGGAACUGAAAGGCUGCAGGGCCUGUAGUCAUAUCUCAUCAUAUAUGACAAUAGUACCACUUCUGGGUAAAUCAAAUGAUACAAGUUUAAUUUUAUAACCUUUCAGAGAACUGUAUGCGGAAUAUUACUCUUGUUUCUGGUAAGCAGUGGAGUUUUCUCAACCUAUGCCUCACAGCAGCAUAACUUCUGAUCCAUCUAUUAUUUUUUGUGGUAAUAGUGUUCUUCAGAGGAAUAGAAAAUGUGGGAUCUGCUCGUGGAAAGGAUCCUUUUCUGGCACAGUGGCUUUUCUGUGGUUGUCACUCAGAGAAGCUCUCAAGGUGCUUAGAAAAACUCUUGAGGUGGACAAAAGAAAGGGCAAAAAACAAGAACAAAGUAAAAAGAAUAUAGUCAGGGGUCAAGUUGGUUGGGAUAAAUGUAAUAUACAAUAGGUCUAUAGAAAUUGCUUCUCAGCUGUCAUCAAUCACACUGGUAGUAUGUUUGGUCAGAUCUGGCAAAAAGGCUCCACCUAUUUUUAUUUUAAAUUGAAAAGAAAGCUGCAUUCUGUGUAAACUUUAAGGUCUAGUCAAUGAGCAAAACCUUUGAAAACUGGAAGGUUUCAGGCUUUUGGCCUAACCAAAGUUAGUGAUUCGGCCUUUGACUGAAAGAAAACAAAAUUCUGCUGAAGUAUUGCUGUGAUAUCUGACUGGAAGUUAUUGCUGAAAUGUCUUGUACCUACUGCUCUGGCACAUGGGCCAAAUUCUUAAUGCCACUCGUGACUGGUAAAUUCCGUAACACGUUGCCUUGUCCCAGCAGCCACUUGGGGCACCCAUGGGAAUGUCACCUGGCCAGGAACACCACUCUGUUACAUGAGCCAAGCAGCAAGAACUUACAAAGACUAAUUGCCAAGAUAUGGAAAGUUUCCAAGAUGUGGACUGGAGUGCCAUUUCAAAACAAAGUUUUUCAGAGUUCAAUUGAAACAUCUUGAAAUUCAGACUUAAAAGUUUAUGAUUUUUAAUCUGGAUGAAAAAUAUGUCAACUUUUUAUUUUGGCCAACUUGCCAAUACUUUCUCCAUACUUUUUUUUUUCCCCCUUCAAAAUCCUCUUUUUUUGUCAGCAUAAAGAAUGGGUUUUAGUCAUUUUACUAUAAGAACAUGAGUUCUGCAGUUGAAACUUUUUGGAAUAUAAAUGAAAUAAUUUCUUAUGCUUCAGGUAGCUUCAGGAAAGCAGAUCUUUCCGUUAAUAAUUUUAAAUCAGUGAAGGAGGAGAAAUCCAAAAAAUAUUACAUUGACUCUGGACAAAUUUGGACUUGUUAUUUCCUUCAUUAGGCCACCACAUUAUUUGAAAAAACAAAACACAGCAUAUAAUUUCUGCAAGUAGAAAAAUCAUUGAUACUUCAGUGUAUUUCUUUAAACAAUGAAAAAA